UGGGGAGCGCCUCGUCGACAUGAGUGA
RNAcentral lists this non-coding RNA (27 nucleotides) under Homo sapiens (human). The record is from RNAcentral. Lineage: Eukaryota; Metazoa; Chordata; Mammalia; Primates; Hominidae.